UGGGGAAUUUUGGACAAUGGGCGCAAGCCUGAUCCAGCCAUGCCGCGUGAGUGAAGAAGGCCUUCGGGUUGUAAAGCUCUUUCGGCGGGGACGAAACGGUUCGUGACAACACCACGGACUAAUGACGGUACCCGCAUAAGAAGCACCGGCUAACUACGUGCCAGCAGCCGCGGUAAUACGUAGGGUGCAGGCGUUAAUCGGAAUUACUGGGCGUAAAGGGUGCGCAGGCGGUUUGUUAAGACAGGUGUGAAAUCCCCGGGCUUAACCUGGGAAUUGCGCUUGUAACUGGCAGGCUAGAGUGUGGCAGAGGGGGGUGGAAUUCCACGUGUAGCAGUGAAAUGCGUAGAUAUCGGGAGGAACACCUGUGGCGAAGGCGGCCACCUGGUUGGAUACUGACGCUGAGACGCGAAAGCGUGGGGAGCAAACAGGAUUAGAUACCCCCGUAGUCCCUGAGCGGGCUGGCAAGGCGCAU
This 472-nucleotide ribosomal RNA is filed under the name uncultured bacterium. Its description in RNAcentral is "bacterial SSU rRNA". It matches the Rfam family "Bacterial small subunit ribosomal RNA", at positions 355 to 825 of the family's 1533-position model. The record is from RNAcentral.